Molecule: ribosomal RNA, 459 nt
Filed under: uncultured bacterium
Lineage: Bacteria
Description: partial 16S ribosomal RNA
Rfam family: Bacterial small subunit ribosomal RNA
Source: RNAcentral
CCUACGGGAGGCAGCAGUGAGGAAUAUUGGUCAAUGGUCGGGAGCCUGAACCAGCCAAGCCGCGUGAGGGAGGAAGGUACAGAGUAUCGUAAACCUCUUUUGUCAGGACACAAAGGCGGGGACGUGUCCCCGGAUGAGUGUACCUGAAGAAAAAGCAUCGGCUAACUCCGUGCCAGCAGCCGCGGUAAUACGGAGGAUGCGAGCGUUAUCCGGAUUUAUUGGGUUUAAAGGGUGCGCAGGCGGUCUGUUAAGUCAGCGGUCAAAGCCCGGGGCUCAACCCCGCCCCGCCGUUGAAACUGGCAGUCUCGAGUUGGAGAGAAGUAUGCGGAAUGCGCGGUGUAGCGGUGAAAUGCAUAGAUAUCGCGCAGAACUCCGAUUGCGAAGGCAGCAUGCCGGCUCCACACUGACGCUGAGGCACGAAAGCGUGGGUAUCGAACAGGAUUAGAUACCCUUGUAGUC